UUACCUUCGGGUAAUGAGGAUGGCGGACGGGUGAGUAACGCGUAAGGAACUUGCCUCUUGGACUGGGACAACUGUUGGAAACGACAGCUAAUACCGGAUAUUAUGAGAUUCUCGCAUGAGAAAUUUAUGAAAGCUAUAUGCGCCAAGAGAGAGCCUUGCGUUCCAUUAGCUAGUUGGUGGGGUAACGGCCCACCAAGGCGACGAUGGAUAGCCGGCCUGAGAGGGUGAACGGCCACAAGGGGACUGAGACACGGCCCUUACUCCUACGGGAGGCAGCAGUGGGGAAUAUUGGACAAUGGGCCACAAGCCUGAUCCAGCAAUUCUGUGUGCACGAUGAAGGUCUUCGGAUUGUAAAGUGCUUUCAGUUGGGAAGAAGAAAGUGACGGUACCAACAGAAGAAGCGACGGCUAAAUACGUGCCAGCAGCCGCGGUAAUACGUAUGUCGCAAGCGUUAUCCGGAUUUAUUGGGCGUAAAGCGCGUCUAGGCGGAAAAAUAAGUCUGAUGUUAAAAUGCGGGGCUCAACUCCGUAUUGCGUUGGAAACUGUUUUUCUAGAGUACUGGAGAGGUGGGCGGAACUACAAGUGUAGAGGUGAAAUUCGUAGAUAUUUGUAGGAAUGCCGAUGGAGAAGUCAGCUCACUGGACAGAUACUGACGCUGAA
Molecule: ribosomal RNA, 660 nt
Filed under: uncultured bacterium
Lineage: Bacteria
Description: bacterial SSU rRNA
Rfam family: Bacterial small subunit ribosomal RNA
Source: RNAcentral